UACGAAGGGGGCUAGCGUUGUUCGGAUUUACUGGGCGUAAAGCGCACGUAGGCGGAUUGUUAAGUCAGGGGUGAAAUCCCGGAGCUCAACUCCGGAACUGCCUUUGAUACUGGCAAUCUUGAGGCUGGAAGAGGUUAGUGGAAUUCCCAGUGUAGAGGUGAAAUUCGUAGAUAUUCGGAAGAACACCAGUGGCGAAGGCGGCUCACUGGUCCGGUACUGACGCUGAGGUGCGAAAGCGUGGGGAGCAAACAGG
This 253-nucleotide ribosomal RNA is filed under the name uncultured bacterium. RNAcentral describes it as "partial 16S ribosomal RNA". It matches the Rfam family "Bacterial small subunit ribosomal RNA", at positions 524 to 776 of the family's 1533-position model. The record is from RNAcentral.